Molecule: ribosomal RNA, 592 nt
Filed under: uncultured bacterium
Lineage: Bacteria
Description: bacterial SSU rRNA
Rfam family: Bacterial small subunit ribosomal RNA
Source: RNAcentral
AACGAACGCUGGCGGCGUGCUUAACACAUGCAAGUCGAACGCGAAAGUUUCCUUCGGGAAGCGAGUAGAGUGGCGCACGGGUGAGUAACACGUGGAUAAUCUGCCCGACGAUCUGGGAUAACAUUCCGAAAGGAGUGCUAAUACCGGAUAAGCCCACAGGCUCUUCGGAGUUUGCGGGAAAAGGUGGGGACCUUCGGGCCUACCGUCGUCGGAUGAGUCCGCGUCCCAUUAGCUAGUUGGCGGGGUAAUGGCCCACCAAGGCGACGAUGGGUAGCUGGUCUGAGAGGAUGAUCAGCCACACUGGAACUGAGACACGGUCCAGACUCCUACGGGAGGCAGCAGUGGGGAAUUUUGCGCAAUGGGGGAAACCCUGACGCAGCAACGCCGCGUGAGUGAUGAAGGCUUUCGGGUCGUAAAGCUCUGUCAGGGGGGAAGAAACUCUUGUGGUCGAACAGGCCACAGGAUUGACGGUACCCUCAAAGGAAGCACCGGCUAACUCCGUGCCAGCAGCCGCGGUAAUACGGAGGGUGCGAGCGUUGUUCGGAAUUAUUGGGCGUAAAGCGCGUGCAGGCGGCCUGUUAAGUCUGAUGUG